GGGGAAGGUAAAAAUCGUAACAAGGUUUCCGUAGGUGAACCUGCGGAAGGAUCAUUGUCGAUGCCUUACAUGCAGACCAACACGUGAAUCAGUUUGAACACAUAGGGUUGGUUUGAGGUGUUCAACACCUCGGCUUGCCUCUGGUUCGGAGGAGGACGAUGUUGUGCGUUCUCCUUUGUGCCAAAACACAAACCCCGGCGCUGAAUGCGUCAAGGAAUUUAAAAUUUGCUCUGAGCGCACCUGCAUGGCACCGGAGACGGUUUUCGUGCGGGUUGUGUUCUGACACAUAAUAUAGAAUGACUCUCGGCAACGGAUAUCUAGGCUCUUGCAUCGAUGAAGAACGUAGCGAAAUGCGAUACUUGGUGUGAAUUGCAGAAUCCCGUGAACCAUCGAGUCUUUGAACGCAAGUUGCGCCCGAUGCCAUUAGGUUGAGGGCACGUCUGCCUGGGCGUCACAUAUCGAAGCCUCUCGCCAAUUUCCUAUAUUGAUAGGGGUAUUGUGCAGGGCGAAUGUUGGCCUCCCGUGAGCUUUAUUGCCUCAUGGUUGGUUGAAAAUCGAGACCUUGGUAGGGUGUGCCAUGAUAGGUGGUGGCUGUGUUACGCACGAGACCAAGUAAGUCAUGUGCUGCUCUAUUGAAUUUAGGCCUCUUUUACCCACAUGCGUUUCGAAACGCUCGUGAUGAGACCUCAGGUCAGGCGGGGCUACCCGCUGAAUUUAAGCAUAUCAAUAGACCGGAGGGAAAUAG
Molecule: ribosomal RNA, 745 nt
Filed under: Trifolium repens (white clover)
Lineage: Eukaryota; Viridiplantae; Streptophyta; Magnoliopsida; Fabales; Fabaceae
Description: eukaryotic LSU rRNA
Rfam family: 5.8S ribosomal RNA (bases 299-454)
Source: RNAcentral